RNAcentral lists this non-coding RNA (26 nucleotides) under Rattus norvegicus (Norway rat). The record is from RNAcentral. Lineage: Eukaryota; Metazoa; Chordata; Mammalia; Rodentia; Muridae.
UGAUCAUUGAGCUUUCUCCCCAGCAC